GAUGAACGCUGGCGGCGUGCCUAAUACAUGCAAGUCGAGCGAACAGAUGAGGAGCUUGCUCCUCUGACGUUAGAGGCGGACGGGUGAGUCACACGUGGAUAACCCACCUAUAAGACUGGGAUGAUAUCGGGAAACAGGAGCUAAUACCGGAUAAUAUAUUGAACGAAAUGGAUCAAUAGUGAAAGACGGUUUUGCUGUCACUUAUAGAUGUAUACGGGUCGCAUUAGCUAGUUGGUAAGGUAACUGCUUACCAAGGCAACGAUGCGUAGCCGACCUGAGAGGAUGAGUGGCCACACUGGAACUGAGACACGGCCCAGACUGCUACGGGAGGCAGCAGUAGGGAAUCUUCAGCAAGGGGCGAAAGCUUGACGGAGCAACGCCGCGUGAGUGAUGAAGGUCUUCGGAGCGUAAAACUCUGUUAUUAGGGAAGAACAAAUGUGUAAGUAACUAUGCACGUAUUGACGGUACCUAAUCAGAAAGCCACGGCUAACUACGUG
This 497-nucleotide ribosomal RNA is filed under the name uncultured bacterium. RNAcentral describes it as "partial 16S ribosomal RNA". It matches the Rfam family "Bacterial small subunit ribosomal RNA", at positions 28 to 507 of the family's 1533-position model. The record is from RNAcentral.